AGCGAACGCUGGCGGCAUGCCUAACACAUGCAAGUCGCACGGGGGGGCUUCGGCCUCCCAGUGGCGGACGGGUGAGGAACGCGUAGGGACCUGUCGAGGGGUGGGGGAUAACCGCGGGAAACUGCGGCUAAUACCGCAUGACGCCGCGGCGUGACAGCCGGGGCCAAAGGCGAAAGCCGCCCGCCGAGGGGCCUGCGUCCGAUUAGCUGGUUGGCGGGGUAGCGGCCCACCAAGGCGUCGAUCGGUAGCUGGUCUGAGAGGGUGAUCAGCCACACCGGGACUGAGACACGGCCCGGACUCCUCGGGAGGCAGCAGUGGGGAAUAUUGGACAAUGGGCGCAAGCCUGAUCCAGCAAUGCCGCGUGGGUGAAGAAGGACUUCGGAUUGUAAAGCCCUUUCGGCGGGGACGAUGGUGACGGUACCCGCAGAAGAAGCCCCGGCUAACUUCGUG
Molecule: ribosomal RNA, 450 nt
Filed under: uncultured bacterium
Lineage: Bacteria
Description: partial 16S ribosomal RNA
Rfam family: Bacterial small subunit ribosomal RNA
Source: RNAcentral